CCUACGGGCGGCAGCAGUGAGGAAUAUUGGUCAAUGGGCGCGAGCCUGAACCAGCCAAGUAGCGUUAAGGAUGACUGCCCUACGGGUUGUAAACUUCUUUUAUAAAGGAAUAAAAUGAGGCACGUGUGCCUUUUUGUAUGUACUUUAUGAAUAAGGAUCGGCUAACUCCGUGCCAGCAGCCGCGGUAAUACGGAGGAUCCGAGCGUUAGCCGGAUUUAUUUGGUUUAAAGGGAGCGUAGAUGGGUUGUUAAGUCAGUUGUGAAAGUUUGCGGCUCAACCGUAAAAUUGCAAUUGAUACUGGCAGUCUUGAGUACAGUGUGGGUAGGCGGAAUUCGUGGUGUAGCGGUGAAAUGCUUAGAUAUCACGAAGAACUCCGAUUGCGAAGGCAGGUUACUAAACUGCAACUGACAUUGAUGCUCGAAAGUGUGGGUAUCAAACAGGAUUAGAUACCCUAGUAGUC
This 460-nucleotide ribosomal RNA is filed under the name uncultured bacterium. RNAcentral's name for it is "partial 16S ribosomal RNA". It matches the Rfam family "Bacterial small subunit ribosomal RNA", at positions 338 to 795 of the family's 1533-position model. The record is from RNAcentral.